RNAcentral lists this small nuclear RNA (107 nucleotides) under Dasypus novemcinctus (nine-banded armadillo). Lineage: Eukaryota; Metazoa; Chordata; Mammalia; Cingulata; Dasypodidae. The record is from RNAcentral.
GUGCUUGCUUCGGCAGCACAUAUACUAAAAUUGGAGAGUUACAGAGAAGAUUAGCAUGGCCCCUAUGCAAGGAUGACAAACAAAUUCAUGAAGCAUUCCAUAUUUUU